Molecule: long non-coding RNA, 1422 nt
Filed under: Salvator merianae (Argentine black and white tegu)
Lineage: Eukaryota; Metazoa; Chordata; Lepidosauria; Squamata; Teiidae
Description: lncRNA (ENSSMRG00000005547.1)
Source: RNAcentral
CGCAAACUAAAAUGUUUCUAUACCAAUGCGCAAAGCAUGGGAAACAAACAAGGAGAACUGGAAAUCCUAGCACAGGAAAAUAAAUAUGAUAUCAUAGGCAUAACUGAAACUUGGUGGGAUAAUACGCAUGAUUGGAACACAGAGCUCGAAGGCUACAACUUAUUUAAAAAAAACAGGCUUAAUAAAAGGGGAGGAGGUGUUGCAUUGUAUGUAAGGAAAAUAUAUACCACCACAGAGAUUAAUCUUUCAGAUAAUGGAAGCCCUGUAGAAACCGUUUGGGUGAAAAUACAAGGAGAGAGCAACACAAAGGAUACUGUUGUAGGAGUUUAUUAUAGACCCCCUGGACAAACAGAAUAUAUGGAUGAACUAUUUAUAUAUCAGAUGGCCAAGCUCUCGGGGAAACACGACCUAGUCAUUAUGGGAGAUUUUAACUAUCCGGACAUUUGUUGGGAAUCUCUCUCUGGCAAAAGUCAUGGGUCCAAUAAAUUCUUAUCCUCUCUGGCAGAUAACUUCAUUUUCCAAAGGAUUGAGGAAAAAACAAGGGGGUCUGCUAUCUUGGACCUAAUCCUUACCAACAGGGAGGAAAUGGUUGAGGAAGUAAGGGUGACUGGGACCCUGGGUGGCAGUGACCAUGCUAUCAUUGAGUUUUGGAUAACAAAAGGAGGAAGAUCUGAGAGGACUCGGACUUCAAGGUUAGAUUUCAGAGGAGCAGAUUUUUAUGGACUCAGAAGGAGGGUAGGAAGGAUCCAUUGGCUGGAUGUCUUAAAGGACAGAAAUGUCCAGGAAGGAUGGGAAAUUUUGAGAAAGGAGAUUCUAGAGGCACAAUCUUUAACAAUUCCUAAAAGAAAAAAGAAUGGCAAGCAUCUAAAGAGACCAGGGUGGAUGAACCCUGAACUUAAUAACUUGCUAAAAAGAAAAAGAGAAAUGUUUAAAAAAUGGAAAGAGGGGGACAUAUCAAAAGAAGAAUAUAAUGCAAUCUGCAGGAACUGCAGGAUAAGUGUCAGAAAGGCUAAAGCUAAAAAUGAAUUGAGGAUUGCAAGAGAGGCCAAAAACAAUAAAAAAAGGCUUUUGGGGGUAUGUCAGAAGCAAAAGAAAAGUCAAAGAAGCUAUAGGACCUUUACAAAAUGAGAAGGGUGAUUUGGUCAAAAACGACAUUCAGAAGGCAGAACUUCUGAACUCCUAUUUUGCAUCUGUUUUCUCUCAGAAAGGAAAGGAAACAUCAGUUGGCCUUCACUGUGCUGUUGAGGGAAUAAGAGAAUCAAGGUUCUGUAUGGACAAGGAGAAGGUGAGGGAACACUUAGCAAACUUAAAUGUAUUCAAGUCUCCAGGCCCAGAUGAAUUACAUCCUAGGGUGCUGAAGGAAUUAGCUGAUAUAAUUGCUGAACCACUCUCUGUGAUAUUUGAGAACUCAUGGAUAACAGG